This 446-nucleotide ribosomal RNA is filed under the name uncultured soil bacterium. RNAcentral describes it as "bacterial SSU rRNA". It matches the Rfam family "Bacterial small subunit ribosomal RNA", at positions 26 to 518 of the family's 1533-position model. The record is from RNAcentral.
AGAACGAACGCUGGCGGCAGGCUUAACACAUGCAAGUCGAGCGCACUCUUCGGAGUGAGCGGCGGACGGGUGAGUAACGCGUGGGAACGUGCCCAAAGGUACGGGAUAACAGUUGGAAACGACUGCUAAUACCGUAUGUGCCCUACGGGGGAAAGAUUUAUCGCCUUUGGAUCGGCCCGCGUCGGAUUAGGUAGUUGGUGGGGUAACGGUCCACCAAGCCGACGACCCGUAGCUGGUUUGAGAGGAUGAUCAGCCACACUGGGACUGAGACACGGCCCAGACUCCUACGGGAAGCAGCAGUGGGGAAUCUUGGACAAUGGGGGCAACCCUGAUCCAGCCAUGCCGCGUGAGCGAUGAAGGCCCUAGGGUUGUAAAGCUCUUUCACCCGUGAAGAUAAUGACGGUAGCGGGAGAAGAAGCCCCGGCUAACUCCGUGCCAGCAGCCGC